RNAcentral lists this microRNA precursor (203 nucleotides) under Oryza brachyantha (malo sina). RNAcentral's name for it is "MIR812 microRNA precursor family". It matches the Rfam family "MIR812 microRNA precursor family". Lineage: Eukaryota; Viridiplantae; Streptophyta; Magnoliopsida; Poales; Poaceae. The record is from Rfam by way of RNAcentral.
AAUAAGCUUACUUUUCAAUUUUUAAAUGCAAUGUUUGACUCUUCGUUUUAUUUAAAAUUUUUUGUGAAUAAUAUUUUUAUUAUUACUAGAUGAUAAAUCAUGAAUGUACUUCAUGUAUGACUAGUUUUUUAAGUUUUUUAUAAGUUUUUUAAUAAGAUGAAUGGUUAAAGUGUUGGACACAAAAAUCAAAAAAUAAAGUUAUU